GAGGAGCCUGCGGCCUAUCAGCUUGUUGGUAAGGUAAAGGCUUACCAUGGCUAUGACGGGUAACUGGUCUGAGAGGAUGAUCAGUCGCGAUGGGACUGAGACACGGCCCAUACUCCUACGGGAGGCAGCAGUAAGGAAUCUUCCACAAUGGACGAAAGUCUGAUUGGAGCAACACCGCGUGGUUGAUGAAGCCCUUCGGGGUGUAAAGACCUUUUCUGGGAGAAGAAUUCUGACGGUAUCCUAGGAAUAAGCACCGGCUAACUCCGUGCCAGCAGCCGCGGUAAUACGGAGGGUGCAAGCGUUAUCCGGAAUCAUUGGGCGUAAAGCGUCCGCAGGCGGUUUGUUAAGUUGGGUUGUUAAAUUUUGCAGCUCAACUGCAAAAAUACAUUCAAAACUGGCAAACUAGAGUACUUCAGAGGUACGUGGAAUUCUGUGUGUAGGGGUAAAAUCCGUAGAUACACAGAGGAAUACCAAAAGCGAAGGCAGCGUACUGGGAAGUCACUGACGCUCAGGGACGAAAGCGUGGGUAGCGAACGGGAUUAGAUACCCCGGUAGUCCACGCCGUAAACGAUGGAUACUAGUUGUUGGAGGACUCGACCCCUCCAGUGACGUCGCUAACGCAUUAAGUAUCCCGCCUGGGGAGUACGGUCGCAAGAUUAAAACUCAAAGGAAUAGACGGGGACCCACACAAGCGGUGGAGCAUGUGGUUUAAUUCGACGAUAAGCGAGGAACCUUACCUGGACUUGACAUCCCGAGAAUUUCCCCGAAAAGGGAAAGUGCCGCAAGGAACUCGGUGACAGGUGCUGCAUGGUUGUCGUCAGCUCGUGCAUUGAGGUGUUCGGUUAAGUCCGUGAACGAGCGCAACCCUUGUCCUGUGUUGUAUUUUCACAGGAGACUGCCGGCUUUAAGUCGGAGGAAGGUAAGGAUGACGUCAAAUCAGCAUGGCCAUUAUGUCCAGGGCUACACACGUGCUACGAUG
RNAcentral lists this ribosomal RNA (979 nucleotides) under uncultured organism. RNAcentral's name for it is "bacterial SSU rRNA". It matches the Rfam family "Bacterial small subunit ribosomal RNA", at positions 224 to 1232 of the family's 1533-position model. The record is from RNAcentral.